GACGAACGCUGGCGGCGUGCUUAACACAUGCAAGUCGAACGGAAAGGCCCUGCUUUUGUGGGGUGCUCGAGUGGCGAACGGGUGAGUAACACGUGAGUAACCUGCCCUUUACUUUGGGAUAACUUCAGGAAACUGGGGCUAAUACCGGAUAUGAGCUCCUGCUGCAUGGUGGGGGUUGGAAAGUUUCGGCGGUUGGGGAUGGACUCGCGGCUUAUCAGCUUGUUGGUGGGGUAGUGGCUUACCAAGGCUUUGACGGGUAGCCGGACUGAGAGGGUGACCGGCCACAUUGGGACUGAGAUACGGCCCAGACUCCUACGGGAGGAAGCAGUGGGGAAUAUUGCAAAAUGGGCGGAAGCCUGAAGCAGCAACGCCGCGUGCGGGAUGACGGCCUUCGGGUUGUAAACCGCUUUCGCCUGUGACGAAGCGUGAGUGACGGUAAUGGGUAAAGAAGCAACGGCUAACUACGUG
RNAcentral lists this ribosomal RNA (468 nucleotides) under uncultured bacterium. RNAcentral's name for it is "partial 16S ribosomal RNA". It matches the Rfam family "Bacterial small subunit ribosomal RNA", at positions 28 to 507 of the family's 1533-position model. The record is from RNAcentral.